UGGUCGGUUUUUUCAGUUAUGUUUCGGGUUCAAGUAUGUAACGUGCAAUGACAUAUGUAAUGGGCAUUGAAAUUGUAGCAAAAUUACCCAUUAUAUGCUAUGUACAAUGAUUCCUAUGCAAAUGAAUUGUAACCCCCCCCCCCCCCUUUUUUUUAAUCAAUUUUAAAAUCUCUUUCUAGACAUGCUUGUAUGAGAUUGUUAUAUGGACUUGUGCUUUACUAGAUGAAUUCAUGUAAAAA
RNAcentral lists this long non-coding RNA (239 nucleotides) under Lathyrus oleraceus (garden pea). RNAcentral describes it as "Pisum sativum (pea) long non-coding RNA (PSAT_LNC019293)". The record is from RNAcentral. Lineage: Eukaryota; Viridiplantae; Streptophyta; Magnoliopsida; Fabales; Fabaceae.